RNAcentral lists this long non-coding RNA (1741 nucleotides) under Strigops habroptila (Kakapo). Its description in RNAcentral is "lncRNA (ENSSHBG00005020546.1)". The record is from RNAcentral. Lineage: Eukaryota; Metazoa; Chordata; Aves; Psittaciformes; Psittacidae.
AGCCACGGCGCAGGCAACAGCUUCCAACCUCAUCUCAUCUGAUCCGGUUUGGUUUAACUGCCUGAUCUAGAGAAAGCAGAAGAGGUUUUCUGCAGCUCAGUAAUUACAGCCUGAACUUCCUUCCCCGAAGCAGCCAGGUUCAAUAUCCCUCCCUGCAGCCACUCGGGAGCACUGCUCCAAGGCAGCCUGAGGGAGCACCGCAGGCUCCGCAGAGCGGAGCAGGAACCGAGCCGAUGUCUGUCACCCUUCAGGAGGGGACACACGUGGCCCCAAGAUGCUGGUGCUCCUUUAACAGAGCCUUGGGAGGAAGGUGAGUCACUGCCCAGCAUGGGAGGAGAGCACAGAACACCACAGAGCUUCUCAGGAAACCCAGUUUCUGAGGAAAUCUUUAAUGCUGAAGCCUCCAGCCCCGGGCUGAAAUAGGGGGAUAAAGAGGAAGGAGCAGCUCACCCCAGAGAACAGGCACCUCGACCUGCCCUGCACCAGCCACCCACAACCCCCCGCGUCCCUUUGGGUGCUGUGUGUCCUGCUUGGUCAAGGGGUAAAGCACAAACACACACAGACCCCCUCCUCGCGUAGGAGCUGCAGGAAGAUCCCUGGUACCUUCGUUUCCUUUGCGCUGGGGACUCGCAAUCACUUCCGACACAGACAACGGGAUUACUCCGAGUUGGAGAAGUCAGUGUGAAGUCACUGAGGAAGCACAGAGCAGUGCAGUUACUGCUGGGCUCCCAGCCCGGCCUUUGAAGUGUCCCCGCCGCUUCCAGAAGUACUUAGACGGGAGAUUAAUGAUCAGCUUUAAAAUGCCCCUUAAACUUAACCAGGAACUUCUCCAUACCAGAAACCAGCCUGUGGCCAAGAAACAGGCUGGAAACCCCAAGCCCCCAGUUGAGCACCCCAACAGCACCCAGGUAAUCCCCCAGCUUCAAAGCCCCCCACAAAGGGUGUGGGGAACCCAGAGAUGGGAAAUGGGGCGAGGGGACAUGGGUGAUCUCCUGUGGUGGAGGAUGGAGCUCAGGGCUGCAGAGGGCUGAACCCCCAUUCCCAGGCCCAGCAAGGGGUGUUCAGACCUAAGACUGGGCAGCACUGGAGGGACCCUGGCACCCCCAAAAGCAGGAGCCACCCUACAAUCCACAGAGGCUGAGGGGGACAGGAACAAUCCCCAACUCAUAAAGGGCCCCAGCUUUUGGAGGGGAAGCCCUUAACAGCCCUAAGACACCCCCCCCCCAGCUGAGAGGAGACACUGGGUUUUAAGGGGUCUCACAUAGGACCCCCAACCUGGGGGGACCUACAGAGUAUUGAGGUGCCCUGAUAUAUAUAGGAUCCCCUGACCAAGAAGGGGAACACAGAGAGCCCCGCACCCAGGUGGGACCCCAAACCAGGAAGCACAUGGAGCACUGAGGGGGCCCCCAACACCCCCACGGGACCCCCAAACCUCGGGGAGGGGGGGCUCAACAAAACCCCUACGGGACCCCCGAGCAGCAGGGAGAAGGCACAGGGCACCCGGGGUGACCCACACCCGUGUCCUCUGGUCCGUGGAGACACCGAGCGUCUCCCCACAGCUACAGCCGCUUCCCAGCCACCCCCGGCAACCACCAGAGCCGCUGCCGCCCGCGGUAGGUCCCGGGUGGGGUCUCCCCCAGAGGCAGCGCCCCCGCGGGUGCGCCCAGCCCGGACCCGGUACCUGCGCUCCGGACCCGGUACCUGCGGACCCGGUCCCCCCGCUCUCGGCGCCACCGCUCCC